CUACGGGAGGCUCCAGUGGGGAAUCUUGGACAAUGGGCGCAAGCCUGAUCAGCCAUGCCGCGUGAGUGAUGAAGGCCUUAGGGUCGUAAAGCUCUUUCGCCAGGGAUGAUAAUGACAGUACCUGGUAAAGAAACCCCGGCUAACUCCGUGCCAGCAGCCGCGGUAAUACGGAGGGGGUUAGCGUUGUUCGGAAUUACUGGGCGUAAAGCGCGCGUAGGCGGACCAGAAAGUUGGGGGUGAAAUCCCGGGGCUCAACCCCGGAACGGCCUCCAAAACUCCUGGUCUUGAGUUCGAGAGAGGUGAGUGGAAUUCCGAGUGUAGAGGUGAAAUUCGUAGAUAUUCGGAGGAACACCAGUGGCGAAGGCGACUCACUGGCUCGAUACUGACGCUGAGGUGCGAAAGUGUGGGGAGCAAACAGGAUUAGAUACCCGCGUAGUC
Molecule: ribosomal RNA, 438 nt
Filed under: uncultured bacterium
Lineage: Bacteria
Description: partial 16S ribosomal RNA
Rfam family: Bacterial small subunit ribosomal RNA
Source: RNAcentral